GGGGGCGAACUAGAUUCGACGGGGAUGGCGGGUUGUCAGAUGGCGAGCCGAGUUCCGGACGCUCGUAAAACAGCCGGGGCCAAUAAGUGCCAACGACACCACUGAAUACGCCUUAGCUGCUUAAUGCGGCUGACGUGACGGAAGACUCUGCCCACCGGUCGACCGAUCACGUAAAGCGCGUGGGCUCUUCCUCCGGAUGGCCCGAGCCGGUGGAGAACUUGGGGCUGGCCCGUCAAAAGCGCGCCCUGUGCGCGUUUGGCGGGUGAGAGGAAUACGCAGGGCUACGCUCGUAGAGGUCUGACAGAUCGCAUUCUCGGACGGGACGGGCAGUACGUCCCCGCCUCCACCA
Molecule: transfer-messenger RNA, 349 nt
Filed under: Clostridiales Family XVII. Incertae Sedis
Lineage: Bacteria; Bacillati; Bacillota; Clostridia; Eubacteriales
Also listed under: 2 other names
Description: JAIMAE01 sp023511625 Standard tmRNA
Rfam family: transfer-messenger RNA
About the family: Bacterial tmRNA, also known as 10Sa RNA or SsrA, is named for its dual tRNA and mRNA-like properties. Its role is to liberate the mRNA from a stalled ribosome.
Source: RNAcentral